RNAcentral lists this ribosomal RNA (301 nucleotides) under uncultured bacterium. RNAcentral describes it as "partial 16S ribosomal RNA". It matches the Rfam family "Bacterial small subunit ribosomal RNA", at positions 509 to 809 of the family's 1533-position model. The record is from RNAcentral.
CAGCCGCCGCGGUAAUACGAAGGGGGCUAGCGUUGCUCGGAAUGACUGGGCAUAAAGGGCGCGUAGGCGGCCAUUCAAGUUAGAUGUGAAAGCCCUGGGCUCAACCUAGGAAUUGCAUUUGAUACUGUUUGGCUUGAGUUCGGGAGAGGUGAGUGGAAUUCCCAGUGUAGAGGUGAAAUUCGUAGAUAUUGGGAAGAACACCAGUGGCGAAGGCGGCUCACUGGACCGACACUGACGCUGAGGCGCGAAAGCGUGGGGAGCAAACAGGAUUAGAGACCCCGGUAGUCCCUGUCUCUUAUAA